GACAGAGGGUGCAACCGUUGCUCGGAAUUACUGGGCGUAAAGCGCGUGUAGGCGGCCCGGAAAGUCGGGCGUGAAAGCCCUAGGCUCAACCUAGGAACUGCACUCGAAACUUCCGGCCUUGAGUGGUGGAGAGGGAAGUGGAAUUCCUGGUGUAGAGGUGAAAUUCGUAGAUAUCAGGAGGAACACCAGUGGCGAAGGCGGUUCUCUGGGCCUGUACUGACGCUGAGGAGCGAAAGCGUGGGGAGCGAACAGG
This 253-nucleotide ribosomal RNA is filed under the name uncultured bacterium. RNAcentral describes it as "partial 16S ribosomal RNA". It matches the Rfam family "Bacterial small subunit ribosomal RNA", at positions 524 to 776 of the family's 1533-position model. The record is from RNAcentral.